UCUAAUCAUUGUAUCAAUGGUUCUUGAGAUAACGUAAGGGAUAAAAAUGAUAGUACCUUACUAUAAGUGUUGUCCAACAAUACUGGUGCCAGAAGACUCGGUAACGCCAGAAACGCAAACGUUAGUCGUCCUAAUCAGGCGUAAAGGGUAAGUAGGCUGCUUUGAAAGUUGUUAAAUUAGAAAGCUCUUUAAAAAUUAAAUUAUUAAAAUUUAAAGUAAUUAAUAAUGAAUUAAAGCUAGAAUCAAAUAGGGGAUAAGCCAAAUAAUAUUUAGUGUAAGGCUAAUAUCUUUAGAUACUAAAUGGAAUACUAAGGUGAAAACUUUUAUCUACUAAUGAUUGACGCUGAGGAACGAAGGUGAGAAUAGAAAACAGGAUUAGAGACCCAGGUAUCUCUCACUGUCAACGAUGAAUGGUAGUUGUUAGUUAAACUAAACUAGUAACGAUGUUAACGCGUUAACCAUUCCGCCUUGCGAGUAC
RNAcentral lists this ribosomal RNA (478 nucleotides) under Lepiota sp. RNAcentral's name for it is "SSU rRNA". It matches the Rfam family "Bacterial small subunit ribosomal RNA", at positions 407 to 883 of the family's 1533-position model. Lineage: Eukaryota; Fungi; Basidiomycota; Agaricomycetes; Agaricales; Agaricaceae. The record is from RNAcentral.